This 253-nucleotide ribosomal RNA is filed under the name uncultured bacterium. RNAcentral's name for it is "partial 16S ribosomal RNA". It matches the Rfam family "Bacterial small subunit ribosomal RNA", at positions 524 to 776 of the family's 1533-position model. The record is from RNAcentral.
UACGUAGGGUGCAAGCGUUGUCCGGAAUUAUUGGGCGUAAAGAGCUCGUAGGCGGUCUGUCGCGUCGGAUGUGAAAAUCCAGGGCUCAACCCUGGACCUGCAUUCGAUACGGGCUAGCUAGAGUGUGGUAGGGGAGAUCGGAAUUCCUGGUGUAGCGGUGAAAUGCGCAGAUAUCAGGAGGAACACCGGUGGCGAAGGCGGAUCUCUGGGCCAUUACUGACGCUGAGGAGCGAAAGCGUGGGGAGCGAACAGG